Long non-coding RNA from Chenopodium quinoa (quinoa), 615 nucleotides. RefSeq lists it as uncharacterized. Lineage: Eukaryota; Viridiplantae; Streptophyta; Magnoliopsida; Caryophyllales; Amaranthaceae. The record is from RefSeq and is a predicted model, not a curated record. The transcript has 2 exons.
GAUAACAGGUCUCUAGAAAAUUUAUUAUUUUUUUUUUACAUUAAAAAUUCGUAGAGACCUGUUUUUUCAGUUAACAGGUCUCUGUAGAAUUUUUACUAAACUGAAAAAACCUUAGUUGUUUUUAACUCUCUGCCUCUUCAUUCACUUUCUCUUUCUUCUCCCUUCCCCCCUUCGCCUCCUCACUUUCUCUUCCAGAUUGUUCCUUUCAUUGUUCUCCAUUUUCCAUCAUCUCCCAUCAACUAGCUACCUCCCACAAUUUUAUCAUUGUAGCUAUCAUCAUCCGAUUCGUCUUCAUUUGAGCAUGCAUUAACAGGAAAUGUUUUAAUUUUGGGUUUAAUAGCCAUUUAUGUACUCCAUUAUAAAUUCCUGGUUUAUCUAUGAUCUAAAUUUUAAUGGAGAUGAUGAUAUGAUGAUGACGAGGAUGAAGACCGAUGAUGAUGAAGAAGAUGAAACACUCCAAUGAAACAAGUGGAUGAUGGUUCAUUUUUAGUGUUAAUUUUUUUUAUAUCAUCACACAUUAAUAGAUUAUAGUACCUAGUACUAUAAAUUAUGUAAUACAUACAAUAAAUUAUCUAAAAUGUAAAUGUUACAUGUAUAAUGUAUAGUUCUUUAAAC